CAUGAGCGCAGUGCGCCCUAAGCGGUCUGCGAUGUUGGGGUCCGCGCCUUGCUCCAAGAGGGAACUCCUCCACGACCUGGACACCGACCAUCUGGAUUCUUCGCUGAGCUUCAGCAGAUCCCCUUCUUGGCACUUGGUGUGUUUUUUAUGCGCUCCUCUGUGCCAGACCUGACCUGCCAUACACGGCACAUGGGACACUGUGCAGAAAGGUGUAGAGAGGCGAUUUGGAUCCACAGCCGGCGCCCAUACUGUGCAGAGACAGAUCUGGCUUCCUUCUUGUAGUUUAUGAGGGAGAGCACGAUCCAGCCUGGAUUCAAACACAGGGGCUUGGAGGAGCUGGAAGGCAUU
Otolemur garnettii (small-eared galago) is the source of this 348-nucleotide long non-coding RNA. RefSeq lists it as uncharacterized. The record is from RefSeq and is a predicted model, not a curated record. The transcript is spliced from 3 exons. NCBI's taxonomy places the organism in Eukaryota, Metazoa, Chordata, Mammalia, Primates, Galagidae.